Molecule: ribosomal RNA, 351 nt
Filed under: uncultured Desulfobulbus sp.
Lineage: Bacteria; Pseudomonadati; Thermodesulfobacteriota; Desulfobulbia; Desulfobulbales; Desulfobulbaceae
Description: bacterial SSU rRNA
Rfam family: Bacterial small subunit ribosomal RNA
Source: RNAcentral
AGACAGGUGCUGCAUGGCUGUCGUCAGCUCGUGUCGUGAGAUGUUGGGUUAAGUCCGCAACGAGCGCAACCCUUGCCUUUAGUUGCCAGCAGUUCGGCUGGGCACUCUAAAGGGACUGCCGGUGUUAAACCGGAGGAAGGUGGGGGAGUGACGUCAAGUCCUCAUGGCCUUUAUGACCAGGGCUACACACGUACUACAAUGGCCGAUACAAAGGGCAGCGACACUGCGAGGUGAAGCCAAUCCCGUAAAAUCGGUCUCAGUCCGGAUUGGAGUCUGCAACUCGACUCCAUGAAGUUGGAAUCGCUAGUAAUCGUGAAUCAGAAUGUCACGGUGAAUACGUUCCCGGGCCUU